AGAGUUUGAUCCUGGCUCAGGAUGAACGCUAGCUACAGGCUUAACACAUGCAAGUCGAGGGGCAUCAGGAAGAAAGCUUGCUUUCUUUGCUGGCGACCGGCGCACGGGUGAGUAACACGUAUCCAACCUGCCCUUUACUCGGGGAUAGCCUUUCGAAAGAAAGAUUAAUACCCGAUGGCAUAAUGAUUCCGCAUGGUUUCAUUAUUAAAGGAUUCCGGUAAAGGAUGGGGAUGCGUUCCAUUAGGUUGUUGGUGAGGUAACGGCUCACCAAGCCUUCGAUGGAUAGGGGUUCUGAGAGGAAGGUCCCCCACAUUGGAACUGAGACACGGUCCAAACUCCUACGGGAGGCAGCAGUGAGGAAUAUUGGUCAAUGGGCGCUAGCCUGAACCAGCCAAGUAGCGUGAAGGAUGAAGGCUCUAUGGGUCGUAAACUUCUUUUAUAUAAGAAUAAAGUGCAGUAUGUAUACUGUUUUGUAUGUAUUAUAUGAAUAAGGAUCGGCUAACUCCGUGCCAGCAGCCGCGGUAAUACGGAGGAUCCGAGCGUUAUCCGGAUUUAUUGGGUUUAAAGGGAGCGUAGGUGGACUGGUAAGUCAGUUGUGAAAGUUUGCGGCUCAACCGUAAAAUUGCAGUUGAUACUGUCAGUCUUGAGUACAGUAGAGGUGGGCGGAAUUCGUGGUGUAGCGGUGAAAUGCUUAGAUAUCACGAAGAACUCCGAUUGCGAAGGCAGCUCACUGGACUGCAACUGACACUGAUGCUCGAAAGUGUGGGUAUCAAACAGGAUUAGAUACCCUGGUAGUCCACACAGUAAACGAUGAAUACUCGCUGUUUGCGAUAUACAGUAAGCGGCCAAGCGAAAGCAUUAAGUAUUCCACCUGGGGAGUACGCCGGCAACGGUGAAACUCAAAGGAAUUGACGGGGGCCCGCACAAGCGGAGGAACAUGUGGUUUAAUUCGAUGAUACGCGAGGAACCUUACCCGGGCUUAAAUUGCAGUGGAAUGAUGUGGAAACAUGUCAGUGAGCAAUCACCGCUGUGAAGGUGCUGCAUGGUUGUCGUCAGCUCGUGCCGUGAGGUGUCGGCUUAAGUGCCAUAACGAGCGCAACCCUUAUCUUCAGUUACUAACAGGUCAUGCUGAGGACUCUGGAGAGACUGCCGUCGUAAGAUGUGAGGAAGGUGGGGAUGACGUCAAAUCAGCACGGCCCUUACGUCCGGGGCUACACACGUGUUACAAUGGGGGGUACAGAAGGCAGCUAGCGGGUGACCGUAUGCUAAUCCCAAAAUCCUCUCUCAGUUCGGAUCGAAGUCUGCAACCCGACUUCGUGAAGCUGGAUUCGCUAGUAAUCGCGCAUCAGCCACGGCGCGGUGAAUACGUUCCCGGGCCUUGUACACACCGCCCGUCAAGCCAUGGGAGCCGGGGGUACCUGAAGUACGUAACCGCAAGGAUCGUCCUAGGGUAAAACUGGUGACUGGGGCUAAGUCGUAACAAGGUAACC
Molecule: ribosomal RNA, 1490 nt
Filed under: Bacteroides fragilis
Lineage: Bacteria; Pseudomonadati; Bacteroidota; Bacteroidia; Bacteroidales; Bacteroidaceae
Description: bacterial SSU rRNA
Rfam family: Bacterial small subunit ribosomal RNA
Source: RNAcentral